AAUAGAGACAACAGACACUGGAUUCUCGUCCUGAGAGCUUGUUAGAGUGGUUACCAACUGUUGGGCUUUGAAGUCGCGUCCAAUGAUUUUCCCAAGGGCUAUUGAGCUAGUCAUGAUGUUGCGAUUGUUGCUCCUGAUGUUCCUGGGGCUCCGGGCUAGAGGCUGGGGCACCUUGGUCACGAAACCGGGAAUGCAUGAAGGCGCUGAUUGGGCUACUGCUGCUCUCGUUUGCACUGGAUUCUUCCAUUUCAUGAUGGAGGCGGUUGUACUCAAGCUUGUCUAGGAGAUCCUCUGCAUGAUACAUGACAUCUCGGAGCUCCUGCAUCCAUGGAAGAGAGCUGUGGGGGAGUGUGGGCGCCAGCUCAGUUCCAUGGAGAACUGACUGUGUGCGAAGCAAAGCAACACGAAGCCUGUCUAGCUCAUGGUCGAUGCCACAGUUGGCUGCCCACCUCCGGAGCUUGUAGGAAAGAUACUUGUCGAAGAUAACCUGGAUGAACCAGCCACCUACAGCCAGGUAGCUGGAGAUGUCCAUACUGCUGAUUGUUGAACUUGCUGUUUUUCUUCUUAAGAUCAAUAUUGAUAUUUGCUGCCAGGCUACCAGGUCAAAGUCUUCCACCAAGUCUUUGUGAAGUUAUACCAGGGGCUAGUGGAAUCUAUUCAUUUUCGAAAACGACUCAUUUCUCAGCUUUAAUGAUUUAUUACGUCUCUAUGAACUUUAGUGCACUCUUUUAACCUAACCCUUGUUGCUACAUUGACCUGUUGUAACUUUUUAUGUUAAGUAUUCAGUAUCUAGUCCUAGAAUUUGUUUGGAUGUUAGAUAGGCCUCUGAGUAUCACCAAUUUACUUUUAAUGGAAUUUGGGACAAAUUCUUACAA
Molecule: long non-coding RNA, 875 nt
Organism: Panicum virgatum (switchgrass)
Lineage: Eukaryota; Viridiplantae; Streptophyta; Magnoliopsida; Poales; Poaceae
Exons: 2
Source: RefSeq, a predicted model, not a curated record